RNAcentral lists this long non-coding RNA (204 nucleotides) under Ailuropoda melanoleuca (giant panda). RNAcentral describes it as "lncRNA (ENSAMEG00000028187.1)". Lineage: Eukaryota; Metazoa; Chordata; Mammalia; Carnivora; Ursidae. The record is from RNAcentral.
AUUUUGUGCAAGUUGGUGUGAACAGAGAUGCAAGUAUCUGGUUGAACGGGAACUUUGAUCACAGCAGGGAAGGCAUCAUUUUACCAGAUUUCUGCCUUACCUGAUGGAUUUGGCUUCGGGUCAGCAGAAGAGACACAGCCCAGCACCAACAAGGAGUCAAGGGUGACCUCUUCAUCCUCCUAACCACUUGCACUCCCGCCUGCU